This 492-nucleotide ribosomal RNA is filed under the name uncultured bacterium. RNAcentral's name for it is "partial 16S ribosomal RNA". It matches the Rfam family "Bacterial small subunit ribosomal RNA", at positions 29 to 507 of the family's 1533-position model. The record is from RNAcentral.
AGUGAACGCCGGCGGUAGGCCUAACACAUGCAAGUCGAACGGCAGCACAGUAAGAGCUUGCUCUUACGGGUGGCGAGUGGCGGACGGGUGAGGAAUACAUCGGAAUCUACUUUUUCGUAGGGGAUAACGUAGGGAAACUUACGCUAAUACCGCAUACGACCUACGGGUGAAAGCAGGGGAUCUUCGGACCUUGCGCGAUUGAAUGAGCCGAUGUCGGAUUAGCUAGUUGGCGGGGUAAAGGCCCACCAAGGCGACGAUCCGUAGCUGGUCUGAGAGGAUGAUCAGCCACACUGGAACUGAGACACGGUCCAGACUCCUACGGGAGGCAGCAGUGGGGAAUAUUGGACAAUGGGCGCAAGCCUGAUCCAGCCAUACCGCGUGGGUGAAGAAGGCCUUCGGGUUGUAAAGCCCUUUUGUUGGGAAAGAAAAGCAGCAGGUUAAUACCCCGCUGUUCUGACGGUACCCAAAGAAUAAGCACCGGCUAACUUCGUG